RNAcentral lists this ribosomal RNA (406 nucleotides) under uncultured bacterium. RNAcentral describes it as "partial 16S ribosomal RNA". It matches the Rfam family "Bacterial small subunit ribosomal RNA", at positions 30 to 526 of the family's 1533-position model. The record is from RNAcentral.
AUUGAACGCUGGCGGCAGGCCUAACACAUGCAAGUCGAACGAGUGGCGGACGGGUGAGUAAUGUCUGGGAAACUGCCUGAUGGAGGGGGAUAACUACUGGAAACGGUAGCUAAUACCGCAUACCAUCAGAUGUGCCCAGCUGGCAUUAGCUAGUUGGUGGGGUAACGGCUCACCAAGGCGACGAUCCCUAGCUGGUCUGAGAGGACGACCGGCCACACUGGAACGAGGAAAAGUUCCAGACUCCUACGGGAGGCAGCAGUUGGUAAUAUUGCACAGUGGGCGAAAGCCUGGUGCAGCCAUGCAGCGUGUAUGAAGAAGGCCUUCGGGUUGUAAAGUACUUUCAGCGGGGAGGCUUUACCCGCAGAAGAAGCACCGGCUAACUCCGUGCCAGCAGCCGCGGUAAUUC